RNAcentral lists this unclassified non-coding RNA (299 nucleotides) under plant metagenome. Its description in RNAcentral is "partial contains 5.8S ribosomal RNA, internal transcribed spacer 2, and large subunit ribosomal RNA". The stretch from base 1 to 105 matches the Rfam family "5.8S ribosomal RNA", at positions 50 to 154 of the family's 154-position model. The record is from RNAcentral.
GAAAUGCGAUAAGUAAUGUGAAUUGCAGAAUUCAGUGAAUCAUCGAAUCUUUGAACGCACAUUGCGCCCCCUGGCAUUCCGGGGGGCAUGCCUGUUCGAGCGUCAUUACACCACUCAAGCCUGGCUUGGUAUUGAGCGCCGCGGCCUGCCCGCGCGCUCCAAUGUCUCCGGCUGAGCCGUCCGUCUCUAAGCGUUGUGAAUAGCGAUCGCUUGCGAGGCCCGAGCGGUUCGACGCCGUUAAACCCCCCAUUUUCUAUGGUUGACCUCGGAUCAGGUAGGGAUACCCGCUGAACUUAAGC